CAGGCCUAACACAUGCAAGUCGAACGGAAAGGCCCUGCUUUUGUGGGGUGCUCGAGUGGCGAACGGGUGAGUAACACGUGAGUAACCUGCCCUUGACUUUGGGAUAACUUCAGGAAACUGGGGCUAAUACCGGAUAGGAGCUCCUGCUGCAUGGUGGGGGUUGGAAAGUUUCGGCGGUUGGGGAUGGACUCGCGGCUUAUCAGCUUGUUGGUGGGGUAGUGGCUUACCAAGGCUUUGACGGGUAGCCGGCCUGAGAGGGUGACCGGCCACAUUGGGACUGAGAUACGGCCCAGACUCCUACGGGAGGCAGCAGUGGGGAAUAUUGCACAAUGGGCGGAAGCCUGAUGCAGCAACGCCGCGUGCGGGAUGACGGCCUUCGGGUUGUAACCGCUUUCGCCUGUGACGAAGCGUGAGUGACGGUAAUGGGUAAAGAAGCACCGGCUAACUACGUGCCAGCAGCCGCGGUGAUACGUAGGGUGCGAGCGUUGUCCGGAUUUAUUGGGCGUAAAGGGCUCGUAGGUGGUUGAUCGCGUCGGAAGUGUAAUCUUGGGGCUUAACCCUGAGCGUGCUUUCGAUACGGGUUGACUUGAGGAAGGUAGGGGAGAAUGGAAUUCCUGGUGGAGCGGUGGAAUGCGCAGAUAUCAGGAGGAACACCAGUGGCGAAGGCGGUUCUCUGGGCCUUUCCUGACGCUGAGGAGCGAAAGCGUGGGGAGCGAACAGGCUUAGAUACCCUGGUAGUCCACGCUGUAA
RNAcentral lists this ribosomal RNA (750 nucleotides) under uncultured bacterium. Its description in RNAcentral is "bacterial SSU rRNA". It matches the Rfam family "Bacterial small subunit ribosomal RNA", at positions 43 to 805 of the family's 1533-position model. The record is from RNAcentral.